RNAcentral lists this transfer RNA (67 nucleotides) under Schedorhinotermes translucens. RNAcentral describes it as "tRNA-Asn". The record is from RNAcentral. Lineage: Eukaryota; Metazoa; Arthropoda; Insecta; Blattodea; Rhinotermitidae.
NUAGCUGAAACCAAAAAGAGGUAUAUUAUUGUUAAUAAUAUAAUUGAAUUAAAACAUUCCAGCUAAA